Daphnia pulex (common water flea) is the source of this 84-nucleotide non-coding RNA. The record is from Rfam. Lineage: Eukaryota; Metazoa; Arthropoda; Branchiopoda; Diplostraca; Daphniidae.
GGUCGUGUGGCCUAAUGGAUAAGGCGUCGGACUUCUAUGGAAGUAGUUAUCCGAAAAUUGCGUGUUCAAGUCCCGCCACGAUUA